This 81-nucleotide small nucleolar RNA is filed under the name Oryza longistaminata (longstamen rice). RNAcentral describes it as "snoRNA snoR160". It matches the Rfam family "Small nucleolar RNA R160". From Rfam's summary of the family: snoR160 is a C/D box small nucleolar RNA, which acts as a methylation guide for 25S ribosomal RNA in plants. snoR160 has been alternatively named snoZ270 in rice. Lineage: Eukaryota; Viridiplantae; Streptophyta; Magnoliopsida; Poales; Poaceae. The record is from RNAcentral.
AUCAAAAUGAGGAGGAUGCUUGUUCUGAAGUAUCUAAACGUGGAUACAUCCAUUCAUGGUCUUCAAAGUUCUCUGAUUGUU